AACGAACGCUGGCGGCAGGCUUAACACAUGCAAGUCGAACGGACGUGAGCAAUCACGUCAGUGGCAGACGGGUGAGUAACGCGUGGGAACAUACCCUCCGGUUCGGAAUAGCUCAGGGAAACUUGGAUUAAUACCGGAUACGGCCGUAAGGCGAAAGAUUUAUCGCCGGAGGAUUGGCCCGCGUUCGAUUAGCUUGUUGGUGAGGUAACGGCUCACCAAGGCGAUGAUCGAUAGCUGGUCUGAGAGGAUGAUCAGCCACAUUGGGACUGA
RNAcentral lists this ribosomal RNA (270 nucleotides) under uncultured bacterium. RNAcentral's name for it is "partial 16S ribosomal RNA". It matches the Rfam family "Bacterial small subunit ribosomal RNA", at positions 29 to 322 of the family's 1533-position model. The record is from RNAcentral.